GACGAACGCUGGCGGCGUGCUUAACACAUGCAAGUCGAACGGAAAGGCCCUGCUCUUGCGUGUUGCUCGAUUGGCGAACGCGUGAGUAACACGUGAGUAUCCUGCCCUUGACUUUGGGAUAUCUCCAGGAAACUGGGGCUAUUACCCGAUAGGAGCUCCUGCUGCACGGUGGUGGUUGGUAAGUUUCGGCCGUUGGGGAUGGACUCGCGGCUUACCAGCUUGUUGGUGGGGUAGUGGAUUACGAAGGCUUUGACGGGUAGCCGGCCUGCGAGGGUUACCGGCCUCCUUGGUACUGAGAUACGCCCCAGACUCCUACGGGCGGCAGCAGUGGGGAAUAUUGCCCACUGGGCGGGAGCCUGAUACAGCAACGCCGCGUGCGGAAUGACGGCCUUCGGGUUGAAAACCGCUUUCGCAUGAGACGAAGCGUGAGUGACGGUAAUGAGUAAAGAAGCACCGGCUAACUACGUG
RNAcentral lists this ribosomal RNA (468 nucleotides) under uncultured bacterium. Its description in RNAcentral is "partial 16S ribosomal RNA". It matches the Rfam family "Bacterial small subunit ribosomal RNA", at positions 28 to 507 of the family's 1533-position model. The record is from RNAcentral.